This 450-nucleotide ribosomal RNA is filed under the name uncultured bacterium. RNAcentral's name for it is "bacterial SSU rRNA". It matches the Rfam family "Bacterial small subunit ribosomal RNA", at positions 354 to 796 of the family's 1533-position model. The record is from RNAcentral.
GUGGGGAAUAUUGGACAAUGGGCGAAAGCCUGAUCCAGCCAUGCCGCGUGUGUGAAGAAGGUCUUCGGAUUGUAAAGCACUUUAAGUUGGGAGGAAGGGCAGUAAGUUAAUACCUUGCUGUUUUGACGUUACCAACAGAAUAAGCACCGGCUAACUUCGUGCCAGCAGCCGCGGUAAUACGAAGGGUGCAAGCGUUAAUCGGAAUUACUGGGCGUAAAGCGCGCGUAGGUGGUUUUGUAAGUUGGAGGUGAAAUCCCCGGGCUCAACCUGGGAACUGCCUCCAAAACUGGCGAGCUAGAGUACGGUAGAGGGUGGUGGAAUUUCCUGUGUAGCGGUGAAAUGCGUAGAUAUAGGAAGGAACACCAGUGGCGAAGGCGACCACCUGGACUGAUACUGACACUGAGGUGCGAAAGCGUGGGGAGCAAACAGGAUUAGAAACCCUGGUAGUCC